Molecule: small RNA, 317 nt
Filed under: Histoplasma capsulatum var. duboisii H88
Lineage: Eukaryota; Fungi; Ascomycota; Eurotiomycetes; Onygenales; Ajellomycetaceae
Description: Histoplasma capsulatum H88 hypothetical RNA
Source: RNAcentral
AAGCUGCCCAGCUUCUACACUCUCCUAAGUAAUUGGUUAUUUUGUAGGUGGUGAAGUGGAAUGUAUGUGAAUGUGAACCCUUUGUCUCGCACAUCAGCGGUUCAUGCUUUCCCGUCCCAUUCGGCGGAUGGGUUACGUAUACACCAUGCACAUGGCUGAGCAGAAGACACAGCUGCAAUACGUGUUUUACUCUUCGUUGAGCAUGAUGAAGUUUGGUUUUCGGAGAACUUUUGCAAGUGCAUCAUUCGGCUUGGUCACUGUGUCAGCACGCAUUUUUUUGGGACCAUGUAUGACUAGUUAUUCACCACUUUUGGAGG